This 863-nucleotide long non-coding RNA is filed under the name Citrus maxima (pomelo). RNAcentral describes it as "long non-coding RNA (CMAX_LNC004327)". The record is from RNAcentral. Lineage: Eukaryota; Viridiplantae; Streptophyta; Magnoliopsida; Sapindales; Rutaceae.
CAACUCUUAAUAAUUAUAUUUAUUUUGUUCCGCGCCAAGAAUUCAAACUUGGUUUUAUAGCGAUUGAACAAGAAUAAAAUAUUCUCAAAAAUUAUCCAUUGAUACGACAUGCUGUUUUUUCCAUUCAUUCCUUUCAGGAUCAGUCGCAGUCUUACAAACUCUCCCGAAGAUUUGGACGAAUUCUUUGCUUCAUAGAAAUGUGUAAAAGAUGCUAGCCGUACUUAAAAGCCGAGUACUCUACCGUUGAGUUAGCAACCCAAAUAAUUCGAAUGGGUAGAUAGAAUCGGAAUAAAAAAAAAUAAAAAAAAAAAAAAAGGAAUUUCAAAACGGAAUCAAAAAAUGAAAUUAGCAAGAACUCGAAUCAAAAAAAUUUCUAAUCGAUUUUGAACAUAAGACAACCAAAACCUAUGGAACGGAGAUAAAUGGGCCCAUUUCUCCAUGAGAAAAUUAUAUUUGUUCACUACAAUAUUGUCAAUAUGACAUUGAAUAUUGAAUAGCAAGAUUGAGAAAAUACUAAAAACAUACAAUAACAAAAACAAAAAGAGUUAAUUGGUUAUUUAUUAAAUUGAAUUCAAAUCCAAAUAACAAAUCAAAUUAUAUAUUAAUAAAUAGAUAUAAUAAAUAUGGAAAUUAAUAAAUAAUAUCUAAAGAAUUAGAUAAAUAAAAAACUUUAAGAAUACUUUUUUAGAGUUUUAGAGAAAGACUUCAAAAAAAAAAAACCGAAAAGAAAUAGGUCUGAAUAGAACAAAAGGGGGAUAGUAAAGAAAAAAUUAUACAAAACUAGAUAAAGCGCAUCCACACCUCUUUUUUGUUCUAUUCCUUAAUAGAAUUUCGUUUGAUUAAGACUAACUUCUGUAAAAACC